This 492-nucleotide ribosomal RNA is filed under the name uncultured bacterium. RNAcentral describes it as "partial 16S ribosomal RNA". It matches the Rfam family "Bacterial small subunit ribosomal RNA", at positions 29 to 507 of the family's 1533-position model. The record is from RNAcentral.
AGUGAACGCUGGCGGUAGGCCUAACACAUGCAAGUCGAACGGCAGCACAGUAAGAGCUUGCUCUUACGGGUGGCGAGUGGCGGACGGGUGAGGAAUACAUCGGAAUCUACUUUUUCGUGGGGGAUAACGUAGGGAAACUUACGCUAAUACCGCAUACGACCUAGGGGUGAAAGCAGGGGAUCUUCGGACCUUGCGCGAUUGAAUGAGCCGAUGUCGGAUUAGCUAGUUGGCGGGGUAAAGGCCCACCAAGGCGACGAUCCGUAGCUGGUCUGAGAGGAUGAUCAGCCACACUGGAACUGAGACACGGUCCAGACUCCUACGGGAGGCGGCAGUGGGGAAUAUUGGACAAUGGGCGCAAGCCUGAUCCAGCCAUACCGCGUGGGUGAAGAAGGCCUUCGGGUUGUAAAGCCCUUUUGUUGGGAAAGAAAAGCAGCAGGUUAAUACCCCGCUGUUCUGACGGUACCCAAAGAAUAAGCACCGGCUAACUUCGUG